AUACUCUGCUUUCUCUUCAGAUUGUAUAACUCUUUUGCCUUUUACUAAAGAUUUUUGUGGAGAGGAACAUUUAUGAGUUUGUAGCUAAUUUUUGAGG
RNAcentral lists this small nuclear RNA (97 nucleotides) under Salvator merianae (Argentine black and white tegu). RNAcentral describes it as "U5 spliceosomal RNA (ENSSMRG00000000964.1)". It matches the Rfam family "U5 spliceosomal RNA", at positions 1 to 97 of the family's 117-position model. Rfam says of the family: U5 RNA is a component of both types of known spliceosome. The precise function of this molecule is unknown, though it is known that the 5' loop is required for splice site selection and p220 binding, and that both the 3' stem-loop and the Sm site are important for Sm protein binding and cap methylation. Lineage: Eukaryota; Metazoa; Chordata; Lepidosauria; Squamata; Teiidae. The record is from RNAcentral.